ACCUGGGAACCCAGUCUCAGUGUUACAAUCCCGAGCUUCCACAAGGAGAGGUUGUGCUGGAUGCUUGGACUUAAAUAACAGUGAAUGAGCUGAUCUAUAUGUUCUUUAUCUAAUUACAUUUCCAGUGCAGUUGUAGAAGGGAAGCAAGAUUGUUGAAGAAAUGACAGAAGCCUGGACAAUAAAGUCUGCAUCAGACUGCAGACACCUGGAGCCUUGGAGGUGAUGGCAAGGAUGGCACUCAGUACCUCUUGUGCCCUUACAGCGGAUGAUAAUGACAUUGAGGAUGUUCGAUCCUCUGUUCCUGCGGUAAAUAUGUAAUGUUCUGGACAGAUUCCUGCUUGAAAUAAGAGGAACUUUACUGAAGAAUUUGUAGUAGAACAGUCAAUACAGAUUGUAAACAAUAAUAACAGCAACAAUUGGGGAUUUUCUUUUUUCCUCGGCACGCCUGUGUAAGGGGAGACUUCCUCUUCCUCACACGUUCUCCUAGGGUUACAGAGUACAGUGUUUCACACAAGAACGAGCUGGGGAUACUUACUAUUUCUAAAGUGUUUGCACACUCAAGCUAAACUGCAUCAAGUUUUCCCAUAAGGAAUGGGUCCAGUCAUGGUCUGCGAUAUGUGCACACGUGUAAUUUUGUAGCUGGAAUACCCAUGGCCGGCAUCUAAUCUCCCCCUCUCUGGAUUCACACUGCAUGCUUUGUCUGACAAUGUCUGGAGCUGCCAGUAUUCCAGCUAAUGUGUCUCUUUUUCCAGUUACUGCCUGUGGCCUUUUUUUCCAGCUCUGAGUGCAUGCUUCCUCCUGGAGUGCUCAGCGCUUCCACUAGCACAUGUCUAUACUUCCCUGCUGGGUCCUGGCUUCCCUGCUGGGUCCUGGCUUCCUGAAGAUUGCCGUAUUAUUUGGGAGAAGCUCCUCCUGCUGGCCUGGAGUACGGUGAAGAAACAUCACCUGGACCUCCUUCAUCACGGCAUAAUGUGAAACUGGAUCUCUUAUUGUGAAAAAGGAUGGCAAUAACAUUUUAAGUGGAAAAGGACCAGCCGGGCUGGAAUCAUGACAGGCGACUCCGAUUCUACCGAUGACUCAUUAUACUUAGAUUUUCUAGACUCAGGAGGAGGAGGGAAACGGGAGAGAGGUUCCUGGAAACAUCAGAGAAAGAGCAAGAGGAACAGUCAAUAGUAAUGACAUCGCCAUAUUCAUAAUACAUUGUGAGAAUGUCUGGAUGUGUCUUACCUGGUUACAUCUAAAAUAAAAUACAAGAAGAUUUACAUUAUACCCUAGGAUAGAAAAUACUGUUUUGCAAUUUUUUAGGCUUUACUGCUUAACCAGUAUAAGGUCAGGCCACUUUCAAUAAUAUGACACAUUAGCUGAGUACCCAGUAUUGCCGUUUUUUCCUACCUAAUCCUUGUGGGGGAGGAAAAGCAACAUAGGAGGAAGUACUUGUCCUCAUAUCCCGACCUCAUAUCCCAUCUUCAUAUUUCGACCUCAUAUCCUAACCUCAUAUUUUGUCCUCGUAUCCUGUCCCUCAUAUCCUGUCCUCAUCUCCCACUCUAAUAUCCUGUCCUCAUAUCUCAUCCUCAUAUCUUCUCCUCAGGGGGGGGCUGAGUUGUGAUGAAGAGAUUGUAGGCCGAAAAUAGGAGGUGUGGUUUUGUGGAAGUGGGCAUGACUUGCAAGCCAGACCAAUGCACAAAAAGGGUAGAAAAUAAGAGGUGGGGUUUAAAUGUUGGGUGUGGGUUUGUGAGAUGGGGUGUGUGGCAUUCGGGAGGGGUGUGGCUGGACUGACGCACUCAGCAGGAGAUGCAGAGCAGAGCUUGGAGUAAGGUGCUGGAAGUCCUAUAUACUUGUAUGGGACUUAAGACAAAAAAAACAUCCUUCACGUAAGGGGGGAGAUUAGGGUUAAUUUAACUAUAUAUUUGAGAUAUAAGUAACGUGUACCAAGUUUUAUUGAAAUAUCUUCAGCCAUUUGGAAGUGAUGCUGGAACAUACACACAUAUACACACAUUGAAUUUUA
Long non-coding RNA from Hyla sarda, 2005 nucleotides. RefSeq lists it as uncharacterized. Lineage: Eukaryota; Metazoa; Chordata; Amphibia; Anura; Hylidae. The record is from RefSeq and is a predicted model, not a curated record. The transcript has 3 exons.